Molecule: ribosomal RNA, 462 nt
Filed under: uncultured bacterium
Lineage: Bacteria
Description: partial 16S ribosomal RNA
Rfam family: Bacterial small subunit ribosomal RNA
Source: RNAcentral
GAUGAAUGCUGGCGGCGCGCCUAACACAUGCAAGUCGAGCGGUAACAUGGACUUCGGUCUGAUGACGAGCGGCGGACGGCUGAGUAACGCGUGGGAACAUGCCCCAAAGUGAGGAAUAACUGCCCGAAAGGGUAGCUAAUGCCGCAUAUGAUCUUCGGAUUAAAGGAUUUUUCCGCUUUGGGAGUGGCCCGCGUUCGAUUAGGUAGUUGGUGAGGUAAAGGCUCACCAAGCCUACGAUCGAUAACUGGUCUAAGAGGAUGAUCAGUCAGACUGGAACUGAGACACGGUCCAGACUCCUACGGGAGGCAGCAGUGAGGAAUCUUCCACAAUGGGCGAAAGCCUGAUGGAGCGACGCCGCGUGCAGGAUGAAGGCCUUCGGGUUGUAAACUGCUUUUAUAAGUGAAGAAUAUGACGGUAACUUAUGAAUAAGCACCGGCUAACUACGUGCCAGCAGCCGCCGUA